GCGUCCUGAGUACAGUGGUUAGUACACUUGACAUGGAUAUAAGUGAUGUGGGUUUGACUCCCACAGGACACA
This 72-nucleotide transfer RNA is filed under the name Puccinia coronata f. sp. avenae. Its description in RNAcentral is "Puccinia coronata var. avenae f. sp. avenae partial tRNA-Pro". It matches the Rfam family "tRNA". From Rfam's summary of the family: Transfer RNA (tRNA) molecules are approximately 80 nucleotides in length. Their secondary structure includes four short double-helical elements and three loops (D, anti-codon, and T loops). Lineage: Eukaryota; Fungi; Basidiomycota; Pucciniomycetes; Pucciniales; Pucciniaceae. The record is from RNAcentral.